This 288-nucleotide ribosomal RNA is filed under the name Triticum aestivum (bread wheat). Its description in RNAcentral is "partial small subunit ribosomal RNA". Lineage: Eukaryota; Viridiplantae; Streptophyta; Magnoliopsida; Poales; Poaceae. The record is from RNAcentral.
AUGUCAAAGACAGCACAUGAAGAUUUCAAAGAUCAAAGGUUACUUGAUUGGGUCAAAGAAAGGUGCCCGGAAGUUAAACUUUCAUUUGAUGAGCUAUGUCCUAAAAAUGCCAAAAUGACUUCAGGAACCAUGCAAAAAGAACUUGCUAAAUAUUGUGCAAUGGCGGUCACCAAAGCAAUCAAAGAAGAGAUGGAUGGUUGCCUUUUCACUGUUCUUAUUGAUGAGUGCCGUGAUAUUUCAGUGAAAGAGCAAAUGGCUGUGGUUGUCAGGUUUUUGAGCAAAAAAUGA